GAUUUGAGAUGGCCUCUCGCCCUAUUCAGUGUAACAGCUGUGGUAGUGGGUUUGGUCGCUCGCAUUUAAAUUGGAAGGGUAAUGGUGGACCGCACUUCUCCCUUAGUAGGACGUUGCGACCUGUCAAAUAAUAUCCUAAGUAUUUGGCUAAUUUGUCUGUUUUUAGGCAGUACUGAAAGGUAUUUCCUUUAACAGUUUUAGCCGUUUACAUACUGGAUAUAAUUGACAGUAACGAAUCAUGGUGUUGAGCCACUUACUUUGUAAGUGUCCUUUAUGGCUGUUUGCAAGUGGGUUGGUUAAUUAGUUUUAGUCGGAUUUUGGUCCGUCUAACUAUUCCGCCUACUGUUGGUAAACUGUUCCUUGGACAGUGCUUAUAACACCGGUCGGCAGCGAUUCAGGUUCAGGCUCUUAUCCGACCCGUCUUGAAACACGGACCAAGGAGUUUAGCGUGUACGCAAGUCAUUGGGUGUAUAAAACCCAAAGGCGCAA
This 489-nucleotide ribosomal RNA is filed under the name Triatoma rubrovaria. Its description in RNAcentral is "eukaryotic LSU rRNA". It matches the Rfam family "Eukaryotic large subunit ribosomal RNA", at positions 422 to 719 of the family's 3401-position model. Lineage: Eukaryota; Metazoa; Arthropoda; Insecta; Hemiptera; Reduviidae. The record is from RNAcentral.